CCUACGGGAGGCAGCAGUGAGGAAUAUUGGUCAAUGGGCUUACGCCUGAACCCGCCAAGUCGCGUGAGGGAAGACUGCCCUAUGGGUUGUAAACCUCUUUUGUCAGGGAGCAACGCCGGCUACGUGUAGCCGGUCUGAGAGUACCUGAAGAAAAAGCAUCGGCUACCUCCGUGCCAGCAGCCGCGGUAAUACGGAGGAUGCGAGCGUUAUCCGGAUUUAUUGGGUUUAAAGGGUGCGUAGGCGGAAUGCCAAGUCAGCGGUAAAAUCGCGGGGCUCAACCUCGCUCCGCCGUUGAAACUGGCGUUCUUGAGUGGGCGAGAAGUAUGCGGAAUGAGUGGUGUAGCGGUGAAAUGCAUAGAUAUCACGCAGAACUCCGAUUGCGAAGGCAGCAUACCGGCGCCCAACUGACGCUGAAGCACGAAAGCGUGGGUAUCGAACAGGAUUAGAUACCCGUGUAGUC
This 460-nucleotide ribosomal RNA is filed under the name uncultured bacterium. Its description in RNAcentral is "partial 16S ribosomal RNA". It matches the Rfam family "Bacterial small subunit ribosomal RNA", at positions 338 to 795 of the family's 1533-position model. The record is from RNAcentral.